Molecule: small nuclear RNA, 107 nt
Filed under: Dasypus novemcinctus (nine-banded armadillo)
Lineage: Eukaryota; Metazoa; Chordata; Mammalia; Cingulata; Dasypodidae
Source: RNAcentral
GUGCUCACUUUAGCAAUACAUAUACUAAAAUUGGAACAGUACAGGAAAGAUUAGCAUGGCCCCUGUGCAAGGAUGACACACAAAUUUGUGAAGUGCUCUAUAUUUUU